This 1034-nucleotide ribosomal RNA is filed under the name uncultured bacterium. RNAcentral's name for it is "bacterial SSU rRNA". It matches the Rfam family "Bacterial small subunit ribosomal RNA", at positions 351 to 1397 of the family's 1533-position model. The record is from RNAcentral.
GCAGUGGGGAAUAUUGCGCAAUGGGCGAAAGCCUGACGCAGCGACGCCGCGUGAGGGAUGAAGGCCUUCGGGUUGUAAACCUCUUUCAGCAGGGACGAAGCGAGAGUGACGGUACCUGCAGAAGAAGCACCGGCCAACUACGUGCCAGCAGCCGCGGUAAUACGUAGGGUGCAAGCGUUGUCCGGAAUUAUUGGGCGUAAAGAGCUCGUAGGCGGUCUGUCGCGUCGGCUGUGAAAACUCGGGGCUCAACCCCGAGCCUGCAGUCGAUACGGGCAGACUAGAGUGCUGUAGGGGAGACUGGAAUUCCUGGUGUAGCGGUGAAAUGCGCAGAUAUCAGGAGGAACACCGGUGGCGAAGGCGGGUCUCUGAGCAGUAACUGACGCUGAGGAGCGAAAGCGUGGGGAGCAAACAGGAUUAGAUACCCUGGUAGUCCACGCCGUAAACGGUGGGUGCUAGGUGUGAGCGGUAUUCCACGCCGUUCGUGCCGCAGCUAACGCAUUAAGCACCCCGCCUGGGGAGUACGGCCGCAAGGCUAAAACUCAAAGGAAUUGACGGGGGCCCGCACAAGCAGCGGAGCAUGUGGCUUAAUUCGACGCAACGCGAAGAACCUUACCAAGGCUUGACAUACACCGAAAACUCGUAGAGAUACGGGGUCCGCAAGGGCGGUGUACAGGUGGUGCAUGGUUGUCGUCAGCUCGUGUCGUGAGAUGUUGGGUUAAGUCCCGCAACGAGCGCAACCCUCGUUCUAUGUUGCCAGCGCGUGAUGGCGGGGACUCAUAGGAGACUGCCGGGGUCAACUCGGAGGAAGGUGGGGACGACGUCAAAUCAUCAUGCCCCUUAUGUCUUGGGCUGCACACAUGCUACAAUGGUCGGUACAAAGGGCUGCUAAACCGCGAGGUGGAGCGAAUCCCAAAAAGCCGGUCUCAGUUCGGAUUGGGGUCUGCAACUCGACCCCAUGAAGUCGGAGUUGCUAGUAAUCGCAGAUCAGCAACGCUGCGGUGAAUACGUUCCCGGGCCUUGUACACACCGCCCGU